This 2929-nucleotide ribosomal RNA is filed under the name Escherichia coli. Its description in RNAcentral is "23S ribosomal RNA". It matches the Rfam family "Bacterial large subunit ribosomal RNA". The record is from RNAcentral. Lineage: Bacteria; Pseudomonadati; Pseudomonadota; Gammaproteobacteria; Enterobacterales; Enterobacteriaceae.
GGGUUGUGAGGUUAAGCGACUAAGCGUACACGGUGGAUGCCCUGGCAGUCAGAGGCGAUGAAGGACGUGCUAAUCUGCGAUAAGCGUCGGUAAGGUGAUAUGAACCGUUAUAACCGGCGAUUUCCGAAUGGGGAAACCCAGUGUGUUUCGACACACUAUCAUUAACUGAAUCCAUAGGUUAAUGAGGCGAACCGGGGGAACUGAAACAUCUAAGUACCCCGAGGAAAAGAAAUCAACCGAGAUUCCCCCAGUAGCGGCGAGCGAACGGGGAGCAGCCCAGAGCCUGAAUCAGUGUGUGUGUUAGUGGAAGCGUCUGGAAAGGCGCGCGAUACAGGGUGACAGCCCCGUACACAAAAAUGCACAUGCUGUGAGCUCGAUGAGUAGGGCGGGACACGUGGUAUCCUGUCUGAAUAUGGGGGGACCAUCCUCCAAGGCUAAAUACUCCUGACUGACCGAUAGUGAACCAGUACCGUGAGGGAAAGGCGAAAAGAACCCCGGCGAGGGGAGUGAAAAAGAACCUGAAACCGUGUACGUACAAGCAGUGGGAGCACGCUUAGGCGUGUGACUGCGUACCUUUUGUAUAAUGGGUCAGCGACUUAUAUUCUGUAGCAAGGUUAACCGAAUAGGGGAGCCGAAGGGAAACCGAGUCUUAACUGGGCGUUAAGUUGCAGGGUAUAGACCCGAAACCCGGUGAUCUAGCCAUGGGCAGGUUGAAGGUUGGGUAACACUAACUGGAGGACCGAACCGACUAAUGUUGAAAAAUUAGCGGAUGACUUGUGGCUGGGGGUGAAAGGCCAAUCAAACCGGGAGAUAGCUGGUUCUCCCCGAAAGCUAUUUAGGUAGCGCCUCGUGAAUUCAUCUCCGGGGGUAGAGCACUGUUUCGGCAAGGGGGUCAUCCCGACUUACCAACCCGAUGCAAACUGCGAAUACCGGAGAAUGUUAUCACGGGAGACACACGGCGGGUGCUAACGUCCGUCGUGAAGAGGGAAACAACCCAGACCGCCAGCUAAGGUCCCAAAGUCAUGGUUAAGUGGGAAACGAUGUGGGAAGGCCCAGACAGCCAGGAUGUUGGCUUAGAAGCAGCCAUCAUUUAAAGAAAGCGUAAUAGCUCACUGGUCGAGUCGGCCUGCGCGGAAGAUGUAACGGGGCUAAACCAUGCACCGAAGCUGCGGCAGCGACACUAUGUGUUGUUGGGUAGGGGAGCGUUCUGUAAGCCUGUGAAGGUGUGCUGUGAGGCAUGCUGGAGGUAUCAGAAGUGCGAAUGCUGACAUAAGUAACGAUAAAGCGGGUGAAAAGCCCGCUCGCCGGAAGACCAAGGGUUCCUGUCCAACGUUAAUCGGGGCAGGGUGAGUCGACCCCUAAGGCGAGGCCGAAAGGCGUAGUCGAUGGGAAACAGGUUAAUAUUCCUGUACUUGGUGUUACUGCGAAGGGGGGACGGAGAAGGCUAUGUUGGCCGGGCGACGGUUGUCCCGGUUUAAGCGUGUAGGCUGGUUUUCCAGGCAAAUCCGGAAAAUCAAGGCUGAGGCGUGAUGACGAGGCACUACGGUGCUGAAGCAACAAAUGCCCUGCUUCCAGGAAAAGCCUCUAAGCAUCAGGUAACAUCAAAUCGUACCCCAAACCGACACAGGUGGUCAGGUAGAGAAUACCAAGGCGCUUGAGAGAACUCGGGUGAAGGAACUAGGCAAAAUGGUGCCGUAACUUCGGGAGAAGGCACGCUGAUAUGUAGGUGAGGUCCCUCGCGGAUGGAGCUGAAAUCAGUCGAAGAUACCAGCUGGCUGCAACUGUUUAUUAAAAACACAGCACUGUGCAAACACGAAAGUGGACGUAUACGGUGUGACGCCUGCCCGGUGCCGGAAGGUUAAUUGAUGGGGUCAGCGCAAGCGAAGCUCUUGAUCGAAGCCCCGGUAAACGGCGGCCGUAACUAUAACGGUCCUAAGGUAGCGAAAUUCCUUGUCGGGUAAGUUCCGACCUGCACGAAUGGCGUAAUGAUGGCCAGGCUGUCUCCACCCGAGACUCAGUGAAAUUGAACUCGCUGUGAAGAUGCAGUGUACCCGCGGCAAGACGGAAAGACCCCGUGAACCUUUACUAUAGCUUGACACUGAACAUUGAGCCUUGAUGUGUAGGAUAGGUGGGAGGCUUUGAAGUGUGGACGCCAGUCUGCAUGGAGCCGACCUUGAAAUACCACCCUUUAAUGUUUGAUGUUCUAACGUGGACCCGUGAUCCGGGUUGCGGACAGUGUCUGGUGGGUAGUUUGACUGGGGCGGUCUCCUCCUAAAGAGUAACGGAGGAGCACGAAGGUUGGCUAAUCCUGGUCGGACAUCAGGAGGUUAGUGCAAUGGCAUAAGCCAGCUUGACUGCGAGCGUGACGGCGCGAGCAGGUGCGAAAGCAGGUCAUAGUGAUCCGGUGGUUCUGAAUGGAAGGGCCAUCGCUCAACGGAUAAAAGGUACUCCGGGGAUAACAGGCUGAUACCGCCCAAGAGUUCAUAUCGACGGCGGUGUUUGGCACCUCGAUGUCGGCUCAUCACAUCCUGGGGCUGAAGUAGGUCCCAAGGGUAUGGCUGUUCGCCAUUUAAAGUGGUACGCGAGCUGGGUUUAGAACGUCGUGAGACAGUUCGGUCCCUAUCUGCCGUGGGCGCUGGAGAACUGAGGGGGGCUGCUCCUAGUACGAGAGGACCGGAGUGGACGCAUCACUGGUGUUCGGGUUGUCAUGCCAAUGGCACUGCCCGGUAGCUAAAUGCGGAAGAGAUAAGUGCUGAAAGCAUCUAAGCACGAAACUUGCCCCGAGAUGAGUUCUCCCUGACCCUUUAAGGGUCCUGAAGGAACGUUGAAGACGACGACGUUGAUAGGCCGGGUGUGUAAGCGCAGCGAUGCGUUGAGCUAACCGGUACUAAUGAACCGUGAGGCUUAACCUUACAACGCCGAAGCUGUU